This 195-nucleotide microRNA precursor is filed under the name Oryza brachyantha (malo sina). RNAcentral's name for it is "MIR812 microRNA precursor family". It matches the Rfam family "MIR812 microRNA precursor family". The record is from Rfam by way of RNAcentral. Lineage: Eukaryota; Viridiplantae; Streptophyta; Magnoliopsida; Poales; Poaceae.
AAAAAACGAAUUUCUGAGUUUUUGGAUAGAAUUUUUAACUCUUCAUCUUAUUUGAAAUUUUUUUAUGAUUAAUAUUUUUAUUGUUACUAUAUGAUAAAACAUAAAUAGUACUUUACAUUUGAUUAAUUUUAUUUAAUUUUUUAAUAAAUUUUUCAAAUAAGACGGAUGGUCAAACCCUCAAUCUUGAAAACCCAG